RNAcentral lists this ribosomal RNA (482 nucleotides) under uncultured bacterium. RNAcentral describes it as "partial 16S ribosomal RNA". It matches the Rfam family "Bacterial small subunit ribosomal RNA", at positions 30 to 507 of the family's 1533-position model. The record is from RNAcentral.
AUUGAACGCUGGCGGCAUGCCUUACACAUGCAAAUCGAACGGUAACGGGCCUUCGGGUGCCGACGAGUGGCGAACGGGUGAGUAAUACAUCGGAACGUGCCCGAUCGUGGGGGAUAACGAGGCGAAAGCUUUGCUAAUACCGCAUACGAUCUACGGAUGAAAGCAGGGGACCGCAAGGCCUUGCGCGGACGGAGCGGCCGAUGGCAGAUUAGGUAGUUGGUGGGAUAAAAGCUUACCAAGCCGACGAUCUGUAGCUGGUCUGAGAGGACGAUCAGCCACACUGGGACUGAGACACGGCCCAGACUCCUACGGGAGGCAGCAGUGGGGAAUUUUGGACAAAGGGCGCAAGCCUGAUCCAGCCAUGCCGCGUGCAGGAUGAAGGCCUUCGGGUUGUAAACUGAUUUUGUACGGAACGAAAAGCCUUCUUUUAAUACAGGAGGGUCAUGACGGUACCGUAAGAAUAAGCACCGGCUAACUACGUG